Molecule: ribosomal RNA, 517 nt
Filed under: uncultured rumen archaeon
Lineage: Archaea
Description: bacterial SSU rRNA
Rfam family: Archaeal small subunit ribosomal RNA
Source: RNAcentral
UGGGAAACUGAGGAUAAUACUGGAUAGGCAAUUUUUCCUGUAAUGGUUUUUUGUUUAAAUGUUUUUUCGCCUAAGGAUGGGUCUGCGGCCGAUUAGGUAGUUGGUUAGGUAAUGGCUUACCAAGCCGUUGAUCGGUACGGGUUGUGAGAGCAAGAGCCCGGAGAUGGAACCUGAGACAAGGUUCCAGGCCCUACGGGGUGCAGCAGGCGCGAAACCUCCGCAAUGUGAGAAAUCGCGACGGGGGGAUCCCAAGUGCCAUUCUUAACGGGAUGGCUUUUCAUUAGUGUAAAAAGCUUUUGGAAUAAGAGCUGGGCAAGACCGGUGCCAGCCGCCGCGGUAACACCGGCAGCUCUAGUGGUAGCAAUUUUUAUUGGGCCUAAAGCGUCCGUAGCCGGUUUAAUAAGUCUCUGGUGAAAUCCUGUAGCUUAACUGUGGGAAUUGCUGGAGAUACUAUUAGACUUGAGACCGGGAGAGGUUAGAGGUACUCCCAGGGUAGAGGUGAAAUUCUGUAAUCCUG